RNAcentral lists this non-coding RNA (45 nucleotides) under Schistosoma mansoni. The record is from RNAcentral. Lineage: Eukaryota; Metazoa; Platyhelminthes; Trematoda; Strigeidida; Schistosomatidae.
AUCCAGCUGAAGAGUUCGGAAUAAGACUAAACGCGUGUCCUGGAU